GACGAACGCUGGCGGCGUGCUUAACACAUGCAAGUCGAACGGAAAGGCCCUGCUUUUGUGGGGUGCUCGAGUGGCGAACGGGUGAGUAACACGUGAGUAACCUGCCCUUGACUUUGGGAUAACUUCAGGAAACUGGGGCUAAUACCGGAUAGGAGCUCCUGCUGCAUGGUGGGGGUUGGAAAGUUUCGGCGGUUGGGGAUGGAUUCGCGGCUUAUCAGCUUGUUGGUGGGGUAGUGGCUUACCAAGGCUUUGACGGGUAGCCGGCAUGAGAGGGUGACCGGCCUCAUUGGGACUGAGAUACGGCGCAGACGCCUACGUGAGGCAGCAGUGGGGAAUAUUGCACAAUGGGCGGAAGUCUGAUGCAGCAACGCCGCGUGCGGGAAGACGGCCUACGGGUUGUAAACCGCUUUCGCCUGUGACGAAGCGUGAGUGACGGUAAUGGGUAAAGAAGCACCGGCUAACUACGUG
Molecule: ribosomal RNA, 468 nt
Filed under: uncultured bacterium
Lineage: Bacteria
Description: partial 16S ribosomal RNA
Rfam family: Bacterial small subunit ribosomal RNA
Source: RNAcentral